GAUGAAGAACGGAGCGAAAUGCGAUAAGUAAUGUGAAUUGCAGAAUUCAGUGAAUCAUCGAGUCUUUGAACGCACAUUGCGCCCCCUGGUAUUCCGGGGGGCAUGCCUGUCCGAGCGUCAUUGCUGCUCUCAAGCACGGCUUGUGUGUUGGGCCCCGCCCCCCGGCUCCCGGGGGGCGGGCCCGAAAGGCAGCGGCGGCACCGCGUCCGGUCCUCGAGCGUAUGCGGCUUCGUCACCCGCUCCGUAGGCCCGGCCGGCGCCCGCCGGCGACCCCCCUCAAUCUUUUCAGGUUGACCUCGGAUCAGGUAGGGAUACCCGCUGAACUUAAGCAUAUCAAUAAGCGGAGGA
Molecule: unclassified non-coding RNA, 348 nt
Filed under: soil metagenome
Description: partial contains 5.8S ribosomal RNA, internal transcribed spacer 2, and large subunit ribosomal RNA
Rfam family: 5.8S ribosomal RNA (bases 1-120)
Source: RNAcentral